This 253-nucleotide ribosomal RNA is filed under the name uncultured bacterium. RNAcentral describes it as "partial 16S ribosomal RNA". It matches the Rfam family "Archaeal small subunit ribosomal RNA", at positions 474 to 727 of the family's 1478-position model. The record is from RNAcentral.
UACCAGCACCCCGAGUUGUCGGGACGAUUAUUGGGCCUAAAGCAUCCGUAGCCGGUUCUACAAGUCUUCCGUUAAAUCCACCUGCUCAACAGAUGGGCUGCGGAGGAUACUAUAGAGCUAGGAGGCGGGAGAGGCAAGCGGUACUUAGUGGGUAGGGGUAAAAUCCGUUGAUCCAUUGAAGACCACCAGUGGCGAAGGCGGCUUGCCAGAACGCACUCGACGGUGAGGGAUGAAAGCUGGGGGAGCAAACCGG